Molecule: ribosomal RNA, 397 nt
Filed under: uncultured bacterium
Lineage: Bacteria
Description: partial 16S ribosomal RNA
Rfam family: Bacterial small subunit ribosomal RNA
Source: RNAcentral
AUACGUAGGUGGCAAGCGUUGUCCGGAUUUACUGGGUGUAAAGGGCGUGUAGGCGGAGAUGCAAGUCAGGAGUGAAAUCUAGGGGCUCAACCCCUAAACUGCUUUUGAAACUGUAUCCCUUGAGUAUCGGAGAGGCAGGCGGAAUUCCUCGUGUAGCGGUGAAAUGCGUAGAUAUUAGGAGGGAAACCAGUGGGGAAGGCGGCCUGCUGGACGACGACUGACGCUGAGGCGCGAGAGCGUGGGGAGCGAACAGGAUUAGAGACCCGGGUAGACCACGCGGUAAACAAUGAAUGCUAGGUGUUGCGGGUAUCGACCCCUGCAGUGCCGGAGUAAACACAAUAAGCAUUCUGCCUGGGGAGUACGGCCGCAAGGUUGAAACUCAAAUGAAUUGACUGGG